RNAcentral lists this ribosomal RNA (2147 nucleotides) under Escherichia coli. Its description in RNAcentral is "partial 23S ribosomal RNA". It matches the Rfam family "Bacterial large subunit ribosomal RNA", at positions 601 to 2733 of the family's 2925-position model. The record is from RNAcentral. Lineage: Bacteria; Pseudomonadati; Pseudomonadota; Gammaproteobacteria; Enterobacterales; Enterobacteriaceae.
GUACCUUUUGUAUAAUGGGUCAGCGACUUAUAUUCUGUAGCAAGGUUAACCGAAUAGGGGAGCCGAAGGGAAACCGAGUCUUAACUGGGCGUUAAGUUGCAGGGUAUAGACCCGAAACCCGGUGAUCUAGCCAUGGGCAGGUUGAAGGUUGGGUAACACUAACUGGAGGACCGAACCGACUAAUGUUGAAAAAUUAGCGGAUGACUUGUGGCUGGGGGUGAAAGGCCAAUCAAACCGGGAGAUAGCUGGUUCUCCCCGAAAGCUAUUUAGGUAGCGCCUCGUGAAUUCAUCUCCGGGGGUAGAGCACUGUUUCGGCAAGGGGGUCAUCCCGACUUACCAACCCGAUGCAAACUGCGAAUACCGGAGAAUGUUAUCACGGGAGACACACGGCGGGUGCUAACGUCCGUCGUGAAGAGGGAAACAACCCAGACCGCCAGCUAAGGUCCCAAAGUCAUGGUUAAGUGGGAAACGAUGUGGGAAGGCCCAGACAGCCAGGAUGUUGGCUUAGAAGCAGCCAUCAUUUAAAGAAAGCGUAAUAGCUCACUGGUCGAGUCGGCCUGCGCGGAAGAUGUAACGGGGCUAAACCAUGCACCGAAGCUGCGGCAGCGACGCUGAUGCGUUGUUGGGUAGGGGAGCGUUCUGUAAGCCUGCGAAGGUGUGCUGUGAGGCAUGCUGGAGGUAUCAGAAGUGCGAAUGCUGACAUAAGUAACGAUAAAGCGGGUGAAAAGCCCGCUCGCCGGAAGACCAAGGGUUCCUGUCCAACGUUAAUCGGGGCAGGGUGAGUCGACCCCUAAGGCGAGGCCGAAAGGCGUAGUCGAUGGGAAACAGGUUAAUAUUCCUGUACUUGGUGUUACUGCGAAGGGGGGACGGAGAAGGCUAUGUUGGCCGGGCGACGGUUGUCCCGGUUUAAGCGUGUAGGCUGGUUUUCCAGGCAAAUCCGGAAAAUCAAGGCUGAGGCGUGAUGACGAGGCACUGCGGUGCUGAAGCAACAAAUGCCCUGCUUCCAGGAAAAGCCUCUAAGCAUCAGGUAACAUCAAAUCGUACCCCAAACCGACACAGGUGGUCAGGUAGAGAAUACCAAGGCGCUUGAGAGAACUCGGGUGAAGGAACUAGGCAAAAUGGUGCCGUAACUUCGGGAGAAGGCACGCUGAUAUGUAGGUGAAGUCCCUCGCGGAUGGAGCUGAAAUCAGUCGAAGAUACCAGCUGGCUGCAACUGUUUAUUAAAAACACAGCACUGUGCAAACACGAAAGUGGACGUAUACGGUGUGACGCCUGCCCGGUGCCGGAAGGUUAAUUGAUGGGGUUAGCGCAAGCGAAGCUCUUGAUCGAAGCCCCGGUAAACGGCGGCCGUAACUAUAACGGUCCUAAGGUAGCGAAAUUCCUUGUCGGGUAAGUUCCGACCUGCACGAAUGGCGUAAUGAUGGCCAGGCUGUCUCCACCCGAGACUCAGUGAAAUUGAACUCGCUGUGAAGAUGCAGUGUACCCGCGGCAAGACGGAAAGACCCCGUGAACCUUUACUAUAGCUUGACACUGAACAUUGAGCCUUGAUGUGUAGGAUAGGUGGGAGGCUUUGAAGUGUGGACGCCAGUCUGCAUGGAGCCGACCUUGAAAUACCACCCUUUAAUGUUUGAUGUUCUAACGUUGACCCGUAAUCCGGGUUGCGGACAGUGUCUGGUGGGUAGUUUGACUGGGGCGGUCUCCUCCUAAAGAGUAACGGAGGAGCACGAAGGUUGGCUAAUCCUGGUCGGACAUCAGGAGGUUAGUGCAAUGGCAUAAGCCAGCUUGACUGCGAGCGUGACGGCGCGAGCAGGUGCGAAAGCAGGUCAUAGUGAUCCGGUGGUUCUGAAUGGAAGGGCCAUCGCUCAACGGAUAAAAGGUACUCCGGGGAUAACAGGCUGAUACCGCCCAAGAGUUCAUAUCGACGGCGGUGUUUGGCACCUCGAUGUCGGCUCAUCACAUCCUGGGGCUGAAGUAGGUCCCAAGGGUAUGGCUGUUCGCCAUUUAAAGUGGUACGCGAGCUGGGUUUAGAACGUCGUGAGACAGUUCGGUCCCUAUCUGCCGUGGGCGCUGGAGAACUGAGGGGGGCUGCUCCUAGUACGAGAGGACCGGAGUGGACGCAUCACUGGUGUUCGGGUUGUCAUGCCAAU